UACGUAGGGCGCAAGCGUUGUCCGGAAUUAUUGGGCGUAAAGAGCUCGUAGGCGGUCUGUUACGUCCGCUGUGAAAACCCAGGGCUUAACCCUGGGCUUGCAGUGGAUACGGGUAGACUAGAGGCAGGUAGGGGGAGAAUGGAAUUCCCGGUGUAGCGGUGAAAAAUGCGCAGAUAUCGGGAGGAACACCGGUGGCGAAGGCGGUUCUCUGGGCCUGACCUGACGCUGAGGAGCGAAAGCGUGGGGAGUGAACAGG
RNAcentral lists this ribosomal RNA (256 nucleotides) under uncultured bacterium. RNAcentral's name for it is "partial 16S ribosomal RNA". It matches the Rfam family "Bacterial small subunit ribosomal RNA", at positions 524 to 776 of the family's 1533-position model. The record is from RNAcentral.